RNAcentral lists this ribosomal RNA (360 nucleotides) under Triticum aestivum (bread wheat). RNAcentral's name for it is "partial small subunit ribosomal RNA". Lineage: Eukaryota; Viridiplantae; Streptophyta; Magnoliopsida; Poales; Poaceae. The record is from RNAcentral.
AUGGUGAUUUCCAGCAAGGUAUAUGGCCCGGACAAUAUCCUGCCAGAGUCCUUUUUGUGUUUCAAGUUUCCACCACCAUUUGACCAUCAGGCUAAUGUUUUGUUUCCGCAGGUCCUUGAUACCCUAACCUCCUUUUUCCUUGGAUCUACAAAUUCUACUCCACCUCACAAGGUGGGCAAGGUGGUGCCGGACGAGUACGACGAGCGCUCGUAUUGCCUCUACGACACCGACGCCUCCACCGUCUAUGGCGUCUGCGCCUUCUUGGUGCUCCUCCUCACGCAGCUGCUGGUCUUCGGCGUCACCCGCUGCCUCUGCUUCGCCGUCUUCGCCGUCUCCUGGUGCGCCUCGCUCAAACCCUAG